RNAcentral lists this ribosomal RNA (468 nucleotides) under uncultured bacterium. RNAcentral's name for it is "partial 16S ribosomal RNA". It matches the Rfam family "Bacterial small subunit ribosomal RNA", at positions 28 to 507 of the family's 1533-position model. The record is from RNAcentral.
GACGAACGCUGGCGGCGUGCUUAACACAUGCAAGUCGAACGGAAAGGCCCUGCUUUUGUGGGGUGCUCGAGUGGCGAACGGGUGAGUAACACGUGAGUAACCUGCCCUUGACUUUGGGAUAACUUCAGGAAACUGGGGCUAAUACCGGAUAGGAGCUCCUGCUGCAUGGUGGGGGUUGGAAAGAUUCGGCGGUUGGGGAUGGACUCGCGGCUUAUCAGCUUGUUGGUGGGGUAGUGGCUUACCAAGGCUUUGACGGGUAGCCGGCCUGAGAGGGUGACCGGCCACCUUGGGCCUGAGAUACGGCCCAGUCUCCUACGGGACGCAGCAGUGGAGAAUAUUGCACAAUGGGCGGAAGCCUGAUGCAGCAACGCCGCGUGCGGGAUGCCGGCCUUCGGGUUGUAAACCGCUUUCGCCUGUGCCGAAGCGUGAGUGACGGUAAUGGGUAAAGAAGCACCGGCUAACUACGUG